RNAcentral lists this ribosomal RNA (796 nucleotides) under Tubeufia sp. MLTS119. RNAcentral's name for it is "LSU rRNA". It matches the Rfam family "Eukaryotic large subunit ribosomal RNA", at positions 85 to 907 of the family's 3401-position model. Lineage: Eukaryota; Fungi; Ascomycota; Dothideomycetes; Tubeufiales; Tubeufiaceae. The record is from RNAcentral.
AACGGCRAGUGAAGCGGCAAUAGCUCAAUUUGAAAUCUGCUCUUUGAGCCGAAUUGUAAUUUGUAGAGGAUGCUUCGGCUUACGUCUCGGUCUAAGUUCCUUGGAACAGGACGUCACAGAGGGUGAGAAUCCCGUUUGUGGCCGCGACUUCCGCCAUGUGAAGCUCCUUCGACGAGUCGAGUUGUUUGGGAAUGCAGCUCUAAAUGGGAGGUAUAUUUCUUCUAAAGCUAAAUACCGGCCAGAGACCGAUAGCGCACAAGUAGAGUGAUCGAAAGAUGAAAAGCACUUUGGAAAGAGAGUUAAAAAGUACGUGAAAUUGUUGAAAGGGAAGCGCUUGCGACCAGACUUGCCCGCGGAUGCUCAACCGGUCCUUCGGCCGGUGCACUCUUCCGCGGUCAGGCCAGCAUCAGUUCGAGUAGUUAGAUAAAGGCUUAGGGAAUGUGGCUCUCUUCGGGGAGUGUUAUAGCCCUUUGUGCAAUAUAACUCACUUGGACUGAGGCCCGCGCUUCGGCUAGGAUGCUGGCGUAAUGGUCGUAAGCGGCCCGUCUUGAAACACGGACCAAGGAGUCUAACAUCUAUGCGAGUGUUUGGGUGUCAAACCCGUGCGCGAAAUGAAAGUGAACGGAGGUGGGAACCUUAGGGUGCACCAUCGACCGAUCCUGAUGUCUUCGGAUGGAUUUGAGUAAGAGCAUAGCUGUUGGGACCCGAAAGAUGGUGAACUAUGCCUGAAUAGGGUGAAGCCAGAGGAAACUCUGGUGGAGGCUCGCAGCGGUUCUGACGUGCAAAUCGAUCGUCA